Molecule: long non-coding RNA, 251 nt
Filed under: Homo sapiens (human)
Lineage: Eukaryota; Metazoa; Chordata; Mammalia; Primates; Hominidae
Description: non-protein coding lnc-TBC1D4-8:4
Source: RNAcentral
CUUUUACAGGCAAUGACUGCACAGCCUGCAAGAGGCCUGUUUUGGACAUUAGUUGUUAAUGUAAGUAAUAAUGAUAAUGAAUUGCCUACUUGAAUGUUGUAUACAUAUGUCUAAAAGGGUUGCCUUUUAAAAAUAGAUAAUGAAUAGAAUAGGCUUUGGACAAAUGUGAUCUCUGAAUGAAGGCAUCUUCUUGUUUAUUAACAGCCACAGGUGUUCUGAGUCCAUGUCUUCCAGGCCAGUGACCCUGAUUG